RNAcentral lists this ribosomal RNA (468 nucleotides) under uncultured bacterium. RNAcentral's name for it is "partial 16S ribosomal RNA". It matches the Rfam family "Bacterial small subunit ribosomal RNA", at positions 28 to 507 of the family's 1533-position model. The record is from RNAcentral.
GACGAACGCUGGCGGCGUGCUUAACACAUGCAAGUCGAACGGAAAGGCCCUGCUUUUGUGGGGUGCUCGAGUGGCGAACGGGUGAGUAACACGUGAGUAACCUGCCCUUGACUUUGGGAUAACUUCAGGAAACUGGGGCUAAUACCGGAUAGGAGCUCCUGCUGCAUGGUGGGGGUUGGAAAGUUUCGGCGGUUGGGGAUGGACUCGCGGCUUAUCAGCUUGUUGGUGGGGUAGUGGCUUACCAAGGCUUUGACGGGUAGCCGGCCUGGGAGGGUGACCGGCCACAUUGGGACUAAGAUACGGCCCAGACUCCUACGGGGGGCAGCAGUGGGAAAUAUUGCACAAUGGGCGGAAGCCUGAUGCAGCAACGCCGCGUGCGGGAUGACGGCCUUCGGGUUGUAAACCGCUUUCGCCUGUGACGAAGCGUGAGUGACGGUAAUGGGUAAAGAAGCACCGGCUAACUACGUG